ACUUAUUCGUUUUUGUAAUGGCGGCCAUCCCCAUUCUGCACAGGACGUUACGUUGCUUUAUAUGGCGAUUCCUGUUCCAUUUGGCUACGUGUGGACGGUUUAGUGCUGUUGGAAGAAGUACCACGUAUUAGAGUUCAGGUUCAGUGGCCUCCUGACCUUUGUCCUGCCCUGAUGCCUGCCAGGAUGCCCAUGGAUAAGAUGAGUUCUGAGUCUUCUCAAUUUUUUUUGUGAGGACUUUAGAAGAGGAUGAGCAUUGAGUAGCAGCAGCAGCAGCUAGUGAAGGAGCACAAAGGAUUAUGUGUUGCAAAAAUCCUCACUAGUACAGGUAUUCUCACUGUUCCCUGUGCAGAGUGGCUUGGAUGCUGCAUUCCUUGGACGCUUGCUACUUAUUGCUGGCGAAGAAGCUUUGGCAUCAUUUGGUUGUAAACUGUCUUCCUGGAGUGUUUGAUGUUAAGAAGACACCAAAGAAGACUGACUGUUGCUGCUGCUCAGAAGACACAAGAGAUGAUGAUCUGGUAUUCUUGUUGUAUGGUCCUCCUCAUCCACAUGCUCGGGACGAAGCUGACGUCUCCUGCCCUUAUCUGCAUCACCAUGGCACUGACUGUAUGUAGUCAGCCCAGACUGGUGACAAGGCCCAGUGCCAUCUCCUCCUCCUCCAGCCUGCAUGAGCUGGAACAUCACAUUUAUAUUACAAAUCCAGGAGCAACAAUGUAGCAACAAUGGGAUGCUGUUGUCUCUACAUACCCUGUUAGUGGCAUUGGCAAUCAAGGUUUCCGAGUGUGGGUCUCGCAGCUCCAGGAUGAAAGUUUGAGGCAGUCCCCCAUCGAAUCCUGCCACACAGCGCACAUGAAC
Long non-coding RNA from Portunus trituberculatus (swimming crab), 852 nucleotides. RefSeq lists it as uncharacterized. The record is from RefSeq and is a predicted model, not a curated record. The transcript is spliced from 5 exons. NCBI's taxonomy places the organism in Eukaryota, Metazoa, Arthropoda, Malacostraca, Decapoda, Portunidae.